Molecule: ribosomal RNA, 468 nt
Filed under: uncultured bacterium
Lineage: Bacteria
Description: partial 16S ribosomal RNA
Rfam family: Bacterial small subunit ribosomal RNA
Source: RNAcentral
GACGAACGCUGGCGGCGUGCUUAACACAUGCAAGUCGAACGGAAAGGCCCUGCAUUUGUGGGGUGCUCGAGUGGCGAACGGGUGAGUAACACGUGAGUAACCUGCCCUUGACUUUGGGAUAACUUCAGGAAACUGGGGCUAAUACCGGAUAGGAGCUCCUGCUGCAUGGUGGGGGUUGGAAAGUUUCGGCGGUUGGGGAUGGACUCGCGGCUUAUCAGCUGGUUGGUGGGGUAGUGGCUUACCAAGGCUUUGACGGGUAGCCGGCCUGAGAGGGUGACCGGCCACAUUGGGACUGAGAUACGGCCCAGACUCCUACGGGAGGCAGCAGUGGGGAAUAUUGCACAAUGGGCGGAAGCCUUAUGCAGCAACGCCGCGUGCGGGAUGACGGCCUUCGGGUUGUAAACCGCUUUCGCCUGUGACGAAGCGUGAGUGACGGUAAUGGGUAAAGAAGCACCGGCUAACUACGUG